UAACCCCCAUCGAAUAAGAGCGCCACCCAUCCAUAACGAGUCUUGGAAGGCUGAAGGAAACUUCAGUCUUUAAGCGUAGACAGUGAGCCAGUGGGUCGUUAGCCAUGCGGUUGAUGGGAUUGAGACUCGAAAACCUAGAAAAUUUUGGAAUGCUGAUGGCGUUGUAAUUCCAGAAAGCAACAUACCAGUCAUUGUUAGGGCAAGAGGAUUGGUGAUUUCCCUGGGUCGAUCCAUC
Sporolactobacillus inulinus CASD is the source of this 235-nucleotide non-coding RNA. The record is from Rfam. Lineage: Bacteria; Bacillati; Bacillota; Bacilli; Caryophanales; Sporolactobacillaceae.